Molecule: ribosomal RNA, 257 nt
Filed under: uncultured prokaryote
Description: partial 16S ribosomal RNA
Rfam family: Bacterial small subunit ribosomal RNA
Source: RNAcentral
UAAUACGUAGGGGGCUAGCGUUGUCCGGAAUCAUUGGGCGUAAAGCGCGUGUAGGCGGUCCGGUAAGUCCGCUGUGAAAGUCGGGGGCUCAACCCUCGGAUGCCGGUGGAUACUGUCGGGCUUGAGUACGGAAGAGGCGAGUGGAAUUCCUGGUGUAGCGGUGAAAUGCGCAGAUAUCAGGAGGAACACCAAUUGCGAAGGCAGCUCGCUGGGACGUUACUGACGCUGAGACGCGAAAGCGUGGGGAGCAAACAGGA